CGCCUUGCCAGCCCGCUACAGAAACUUAAAGGAAGUUGACGGGGGCCCGCACAAGCGGUGGAGUAUGUGGUUUAAUUCGAUGCAACGCGAAGAACCUUACCUGGUCUUGACAUCCCGGAGACCCUUAGGAAACUAGGGGGUGCUUCCAUCUGGAAGAAUCUGGAGACAGGUGCUGCAUGGCUGUCGUCAGCUCGUGUCGUGAGAUGUUGGGUUAAGUCCCGCAACGAGCGCAACCCUUGCCUUUAGUUGCCAGCAGUUCGGCUGGGCACUCUAAAGGGACUGCCGGUGUUAAACCGGAGGAAGGUGGGGAUGACGUCAAGUCCUCAUGGCCUUUAUGACCAGGGCUACACACGUACUACAAUGGCCGAUACAAAGGGCAGCGACACUGCGAGGUGAAGCCAAUCCCGUAAAAUCGGUCUCAGUCCGGAUUGGAGUCUGCAACUCGACUGCAUGAAGUUGGAAUCGCUAGUAAUCGUGGAUCAGCCAAGCCGCGGUGAAUACGUUCCCGGGCCUU
RNAcentral lists this ribosomal RNA (514 nucleotides) under uncultured Desulfobulbus sp. RNAcentral describes it as "bacterial SSU rRNA". It matches the Rfam family "Bacterial small subunit ribosomal RNA", at positions 903 to 1382 of the family's 1533-position model. Lineage: Bacteria; Pseudomonadati; Thermodesulfobacteriota; Desulfobulbia; Desulfobulbales; Desulfobulbaceae. The record is from RNAcentral.